Molecule: ribosomal RNA, 480 nt
Filed under: uncultured organism
Description: partial 16S ribosomal RNA
Rfam family: Bacterial small subunit ribosomal RNA
Source: RNAcentral
CGUACACUCCUACGGGAGGCAGCAGUGGGGAAUAUUGCACAAUGGGCGCAAGCCUGAUGCAGCCAUGCCGCGUGUAUGAAGAAGGCCUUCGGGUUGUAAAGUACUUUCAGCGGGGAGGAAGGCGAUAAGGUUAAUAACCUUGUCGAUUGACGUUACCCGCAGAAGAAGCACCGGCUAACUCCGUGCCAGCAGCCGCGGUAAUACGGAGGGUGCAAGCGUUAAUCGGAAUUACUGGGCGUAAAGCGCACGCAGGCGGUCUGUCAAGUCGGAUGUGAAAUCCCCGGGCUCAACCUGGGAACUGCAUUCGAAACUGGCAGGCUAGAGUCUUGUAGAGGGGGGUAGAAUUCCAGGUGUAGCGGUGAAAUGCGUAGAGAUCUGGAGGAAUACCGGUGGCGAAGGCGGCCCCCUGGACAAAGACUGACGCUCAGGUGCGAAAGCGUGGGGAGCAAACAGGAUUAGAAACCCUUGUAGUCCCAUGAU